UACGUAGGGCGCAAGCGUUAUCCGGAAUUAUUGGGCGUAAAGAGCUCGUAGGCGGUUUGUCGCGUCUGCCGUGAAAGUCCGGGGCUCAACUCCGGAUCUGCGGUGGGUACGGGCAGACUAGAGUGAUGUAGGGGAGACUGGAAUUCCUGGUGUAGCGGUGAAAUGCGCAGAUAUCAGGAGGAACACCGGUGGCGAAGGCGGAUCUCUGGGCCAGUACUGACACUGAGGAGCGAAAGCGUGGGUAGCAAACAGG
This 253-nucleotide ribosomal RNA is filed under the name uncultured bacterium. RNAcentral describes it as "partial 16S ribosomal RNA". It matches the Rfam family "Bacterial small subunit ribosomal RNA", at positions 524 to 776 of the family's 1533-position model. The record is from RNAcentral.